AGAACGAACGCUGGCGGCAUGCCUAACACAUGCAAGUCGAACGUGAUCCAGGCUUCGGCCUGGUGAAAGUGGCAGACGGGUGAGUAACGCGUGGGAACCUGCCCUGUGGUAGGGAAUAACCGUGGGAAACUGCGGCUAAUACCCUAUGAGUCCUUCGGGAGAAAGAUUUAUCGCCAUAGGAGGGGCCCGCGUCGGAUUAGGUAGUUGGUGGGGUAACGGCCUACCAAGCCUUCGAUCCGUAGCUGGUCUGAGAGGAUGAUCAGCCACACUGGGACUGAGAUACGGCCCAGACUCCUACGGGAGGCAGCAGUGGGGAAUAUUGGACAAUGGGGGCAACCCUGAUCCAGCAAUGCCGCGUGGAUGAUGAAGGCCUUCGGGUUGUAAAGUCCGUUUCGGCGGGGAAGAUGAUGACGGUACCCGCAGGAAGAACGCCCCGGCUAACGUUCGCGCCAGCAGCCGC
Molecule: ribosomal RNA, 460 nt
Filed under: uncultured bacterium
Lineage: Bacteria
Description: SSU rRNA
Rfam family: Bacterial small subunit ribosomal RNA
Source: RNAcentral